Molecule: unclassified non-coding RNA, 219 nt
Filed under: Hevea brasiliensis (rubber tree)
Lineage: Eukaryota; Viridiplantae; Streptophyta; Magnoliopsida; Malpighiales; Euphorbiaceae
Source: RNAcentral
UCAUCAGCACCCCAAUUGCCUCUACCACAUUCAGGAUGAAGAACACCAAAUGAUUACCCGGAAGAAAUGCAUCAUUUUGACGUUUUUCUGCCAAAGAAAAUAGGGCACCACCUCCAGCUGGACCAGCUGCUUUAAAAAGAGACAUUGUUGUCAUAGCAAUGCCAUUAGCAGCGCCUCUUUGGUGUUGAUCCACAGCUCUAUUUUGCAGAAGGAACAAGC